GACUGACACAUAUCUUUCUCUAGAACAUAUUUUGUACUUGAUGAGCAGUCUUUAUAACCAAUCAUGUCAUAUGUAUCUAUGAUUUAUCCUAAAAAUUAAUAAAGAUGAUUUUGUAUAUUCUCAAAAUAUUGAGAAUUUGAGACAUACAUCAUUAGUGAUUAAUUUCUAAAUGCUCUCGAUUGAUGGAUCAUCAUGAAGGAUAGUGAUUAAUCCAUUCAAGAUUGGUACACGGAUCACCUCUCUUAUGGGACAGAUGAGUCUCGAGUCUGCGAUGUGGAGAUACUGGAGUGAGAGUGCAGGUGGUUGUUAAAGAAC
Molecule: long non-coding RNA, 315 nt
Filed under: Elaeis guineensis (African oil palm)
Lineage: Eukaryota; Viridiplantae; Streptophyta; Magnoliopsida; Arecales; Arecaceae
Description: long non-coding RNA (EGUI_LNC016678)
Source: RNAcentral